Molecule: non-coding RNA, 1027 nt
Organism: Pocillopora verrucosa
Lineage: Eukaryota; Metazoa; Cnidaria; Anthozoa; Scleractinia; Pocilloporidae
Source: RefSeq, a predicted model, not a curated record
CCAACUUGUCUCGCAUCUCAAUCGAAUGUAGUGGCACUAUACAUGUGCUGUAUUCACCCCCAUUUUAGAUCGAACAUAUUUGAGCAGUAAAAAGUGCUGGCGUUAGCAAAAAUGUGCGUACCAUGUGCGUUUACCAUCGUGCUGAUAUACAUGCAUUUAACUGACGAGAACCCACGAAGAAAUGAUCCUGUAUCUGAAUUUGAGACAAGCUGAAUGCCAUAUCUUCUCUAUAAUGAAAUAAACAAGAAAUAGGCCAACAUGAAGGAAGGGCAAUUGGAACUAUGAGUGUGUACUUCGGAAAACUGUCCUGUUCAGAGACAAGCUGAAAGUCAUCAUGUCCAACAACGCAUAGCAGUAUCAUAUUCUGCGCAUGUACAACCAUGGUUGAUCUUGUCAUACUUCCUACCAAGUUCACCGAUGAAACUAUUGGCCAUCUUCUUGGCUUCAGCUUCUGGUUAUUCAUUCAAAACAAACUUACAGGUUUUGGUCCUCUUGAUUGCUGCUUCAUCAACAGGAAAACCAGAAUUCACCUCACAGUCUAAUCCAGUUGCGAUUCCACCCAGCGGAAAGAGGGAUCCAUAGACCAUCUGAAAUUGCUGGGCUGCCAUCUUUCUUGAUCCUGCAUCGAAUACAAAACGAUUUUUGUUCGUGGUAGCAGUCAGCAAGUUUUAAGCUGUAAUGUGAUACUUUGUUGAGCUGUUUUGGAUAUAAAGCUAGAGCUUGGGGACAUCAAUGAAUCCGUGAACGUCGACGAGUUUAGGAACGGAUUCAUCGGCGUGGUGGCAGGGGACACAUCCUCGUUUUAGAAUGUUCAAUAAUUCAAAAGUAAAAUCUUACAAAAAGAUAUGAGAGGCAACAGAAGCACUAGCCUUUUAAGAAUAAAAAAUCGAAAGUAGCCAUAGAAAACCCUGAUUCCUACACACGACCACGUGUGUGCCUCCUUUUUCUGCUCUACGUGAAAUUUAAAGAAGACCUUAUGAUUAUGAAGAAAAUGUCGCAAAGAUAAUAAAAUCCUUACUUACCGCUC